CAGUAGCCGCGGUAAAACGGAGGGGGCUAGCGUUGUUCGGAAUUACUGGGCGUAAAGCGCACGUAAGCGGCUUUGUAAGUUAGAGGUGAAAGCCCGGAGCUCAACUCCGGAAUUGCCUUUAAGACUGCAGAGCUAGCAGGUGAGAGAGGUGAGUGGAAUUCCGAGUGUAGAGGUGAAACUCGUAGGUAUUCGGAAGAACACCAGUGGCGAAGGCGGCUCACUGGCUCAUACUGGACGCUGAGGUGCGAAAGCGUGGGGAGCAAACAGGAUUAGAUACCCCCGUAGUCCCUGUCUCUUAUAU
This 301-nucleotide ribosomal RNA is filed under the name uncultured bacterium. RNAcentral describes it as "partial 16S ribosomal RNA". It matches the Rfam family "Bacterial small subunit ribosomal RNA", at positions 509 to 809 of the family's 1533-position model. The record is from RNAcentral.